RNAcentral lists this ribosomal RNA (552 nucleotides) under Bacillus sp. CH335a_11D. RNAcentral's name for it is "bacterial SSU rRNA". It matches the Rfam family "Bacterial small subunit ribosomal RNA", at positions 95 to 632 of the family's 1533-position model. The record is from RNAcentral. Lineage: Bacteria; Bacillati; Bacillota; Bacilli; Caryophanales; Bacillaceae.
GCGGCGGACGGGUGAGUAACACGUGGGCAACCUGCCUGUAAGAACUGGGAUAACUUCGGGAAACCGGAGCUAAUACCGGAUAAUGCAUUUCCUCUCAUGAGGAUAUGCUGAAAGAUGGUUUCGGCUAUCACUUACAGAUGGGCCCGCGGCGCAUUAGCUAGUUGGUGAGGUAACGGCUCACCAAGGCAACGAUGCGUAGCCGACCUGAGAGGGUGAUCGGCCACACUGGGACUGAGACACGGCCCAGACUCCUACGGGAGGCAGCAGUAGGGAAUCUUCCGCAAUGGACGAAAGUCUGACGGAGCAACGCCGCGUGAGUGAUGAAGGUUUUCGGAUCGUAAAACUCUGUUGUCAGGGAAGAACAAGUGCCGGAGUAACUGCCGGCACCUUGACGGUACCUGACCAGAAAGCCACGGCUAACUACGUGCCAGCAGCCGCGGUAAUACGUAGGUGGCAAGCGUUGUCCGGAAUUAUUGGGCGUAAAGCGCGCGCAGGCGGUCUCUUAAGUCUGAUGUGAAAGCCCACGGCUCAACCGUGGAGGGUCAUUGGAAA